AGGGGUUUGAUCAUGGGAGCUCAGGAUGAACGCUGGCGGCGUGCCUAAUGCAUGCAAGUCGAGCGACGCAUACCGGAGGGGUAACCCACUGGUAUGACGGAGCGGCGAACGGGUGAGUAACACGUGAGCAACCUGCCCCACAGACCGGGACAGCCCAGGGAAACUUGGAUUAAUACCGGAUGACCUCGGAGGAUCGCAUGAUCCAUUGAGGAAAUGCCUUUGUGCUGUGGGAUGGGCUCGCAACUUAUCAGCUAGUUGGUGGGGUAACGGCCUACCAAGGCGUCGACGAGUAGCUGGUCUGAGAGGACGAUCAGCCACACUGGGACUGAGACACGGCCCAGACUCCUACGGGAGGCAGCAGCAGGGAAUCUUGCGCAAUGGACGAAAGUCUGACGCAGCAACGCCGCGUGGGGGAUGAAGGCCUUCGGGUUGUAAACCCCUUUCAGGAGGGAAGAAAUUGACGGUACCUCCAAAAGAAGCACCGGCCAACUACGUGCCAGCAGCCGCGGUAAUACGUAGGGUGCGAGCGUUAUCCGGAAUCAUUGGGCGUAAAGAGCUCGUAGGCGGUUCAGCAAGUCGGCUGUGAAAUUUCGAGGCUCAACCUCGAAACUGCAGUCGAAACUGCUGUGACUCGAGUCCGGUAGAGGAGAAUGGAAUUCCCGGUGUAGCGGUGAAAUGCGCAGAUAUCGGGAGGAACACCAGUAGCGAAGGCGGUUCUCUGGGCCGGCACUGACGCUGAGGAGCGAAAGCGUGGGUAGCAAACAGGAUUA
This 770-nucleotide ribosomal RNA is filed under the name uncultured bacterium. Its description in RNAcentral is "bacterial SSU rRNA". It matches the Rfam family "Bacterial small subunit ribosomal RNA", at positions 1 to 780 of the family's 1533-position model. The record is from RNAcentral.